UCAGGCCUAACACAUGCAAGUCGAACGAGAUCUUCGGAUCUAGUGGCGCACGGGUGAGUAACGCGUGGGAACAUACCAUUCUGUACGGAAUAACGUUUGGAAACGAACGCUAAUACCGUAUACGCCCUUCGGGGGAAAGGUCCGCCGCAGAAUGAGUGGCCCGCGUCCGAUUAGCUAGUUGGUGGAGUAAUGGCCUACCAAGGCGACGAUCGGUAGCUGGUCUGAGAGGAUGAUCAGCCACACUGGGACUGAGACACGGCCCAGACUCCUACGGGAGGCAGCAGUGGGGAAUAUUGGACAAUGGGGGCAACCCUGAUCCAGCAAUGCCGCGUGUGUGAUGCAGGCCUUAGGGUUGUAAAGCACUUUCAAUGGUGAAGAUGAUGACGGUAACCAUAGAAGAAGCCCCGGCUAACUUCGUGCCAGCAGCCGCGGUAAUACGAAGGGGGCGAGCGUUGUUCGGAAUUACUGGGCGUAAAGGGCGCGCAGGCGGUCAAUCCAGUCAGGUGUGAAAGCCCCGGGCUUAACCUGGGAACUGCACUUGAUACUGAUUGACUAGAAAACGGAAGAGGGCAGUGGAAUUCCCAGUGUAGAGGUGAAAUUCGUAGAUAUUGGGAAGAACACCAGUGGCGAAAGCGGCUGCCUGGUCCGAUUUUGACGCUGAGGCGCGAAAGCGUGGGGAGCAAACAGGAUUAGAUACCCU
Molecule: ribosomal RNA, 700 nt
Filed under: uncultured bacterium
Lineage: Bacteria
Description: bacterial SSU rRNA
Rfam family: Bacterial small subunit ribosomal RNA
Source: RNAcentral